Long non-coding RNA from Papaver somniferum (opium poppy), 1520 nucleotides. RefSeq lists it as uncharacterized. The record is from RefSeq and is a predicted model, not a curated record. The transcript has 6 exons. NCBI's taxonomy places the organism in Eukaryota, Viridiplantae, Streptophyta, Magnoliopsida, Ranunculales, Papaveraceae.
CCCCAAUAACACGAUUCUUUAUGUAUUAAAAACCGUUUUAUUGGUGGGGUGAUUUUUACAUUUUGUGUUCUAUUCAUUCAUUUCUCUCUAACGCUUCUGAAAUGAAGUGCUUCUUUCUCUGAAGCAAGAAGAGGAUAAAUUUCAGAUGUCGAUAUCGUGGUUUGACUCUGCAAGUAUUGAUCAUCAUUUUUGACAUCCCCAGUCUCAGAAGUGUAAUGUUUUGGUCGAAAUCGGCAAAUCCUAUUUUCCUGACUAAAUGCCACGUAAAGCUUAAAACCAAGUGUUUAAGAUUAGGGUCAUAGCUGCAGAUGGAGGGACGUAACUAUCGGCUCCUCCUUUUGCUGCUAAUUUCACUCUUUCAUAGUCCUGUGUGCUCAACUAGUAGUUCAAUUACUCAUCUUUUUCCUCCUCUUUCUGUUGUCAGUAGUUCAAUCAGGAACCAAUAGCAUCUCUGCAACACCUACGCAAAGGUCGUUUUCUUGGAACUUUCUUGGAGUCCCCACCUUUACGACGAUUUGGCAUUUUGAAGGCAAUUGCAGAGUACAAAGGUUGUCUUCUAUUUUUAGUUAUGUCUGGUUACAACACCCUUUCUGAUGCUCCUACUGGUGAUUCAAAUAUUUAUUCUAAUCCUCCAAGGACUUACCAAGUUGUGGUAGCAGCAACUAGAAAUAUGGGCAUAGGAGAGGAUGGCAAAUUGCCAUGGAGAUUACCUUCUGAUCUUAAGUUUUUCGAGGAGGUAACUAUGGGUUCAUCAGAUCCUUCUAAAAGGAGUGGUUAUGGAUAGAAAAACAUGGGAAAGUAUUCCGACGGAAUAUCGACCCUUGCCUGGCCGUCUAAAUGUUGUGCUUACCCGUUCGGGAAGUUUUGACAUUGCAACUGCGGAGAAUGUUAUUAGCUGUUCAAGCAUGUCUUCUGCUUUGGAACUAUUGGCAGCAUCUCCUUAUUGUCUAUCAAUUGAGAAAUUUUGCGUCAUAGGAGGUGGUCAAGUAUUGAGGAAAGCUCUCAAUGCUCCUGGAUGCGAUGCUAUCCUCCCAAAUGUAUCAAUGAUCUGCUGACAUGGGUCUCGGUGUGCCGUUUAACAUUGCAUCUUAUUCUCUUUUGACAUGCAUGAUUGCUCAUGUUUGCGAUCUCGUUCCUGGUAAUUUUGUCCAUGCUAUUUGGUGAUGCCCAUGUUUACAAAACUCAUGUCAGGCCUCUACAGAAGCAAUUUCAGAAACUUCCUAGACCUUUUCCUACAUUGAAGAUCAGUUCUGAGAAGAAGGAUAUAGAUUCUUUCGUGGCGACUGAUUUCAAACUAAUGGAUUAUGAUCCCCGUCGGAAGAUAGAGAUGAAAAUGGCAGUUUUCCCCGAACACUAAUAAUUUGAGUAAGCAAACUGCACAUACUGCUAAAUCAUUUUUAUAUUUUACACUUAUAAAAAAAAACCCAGAUAUUUGUGUGUUUUUUUCUUCCUGUUUCAUUUUUUCAUGUACUGAAAUGAGAAUUCUAGGAUAGAUUAAUGUUAUUUUUUCAGUGCUCUGC